UACGGGAGGCAGCAGUAAGGAAUAUUGGUCAAUGGACGAAAGUCUGAACCAGCCAUGCCGCGUGAAGGAUUAAGGUCCUCUGGAUUGUAAACUUCUUUUAUCUGGGACGAAAAAAGGCGAUUCUUCGUCACUUGACGGUACCAGAUGAAUAAGCACCGGCUAACUCCGUGCCAGCAGCCGCGGUAAUACGGAGGGUGCAAGCGUUAUCCGGAUUCACUGGGUUUAAAGGGUGCGUAGGCGGGCAGGUAAGUCAGUGGUGAAAUCCUAGAGCUUAACUCUAGAACUGCCAUUGAUACUAUCUGUCUUGAAUAUUGUGGAGGUAAGCGGAAUAUGUCAUGUAGCGGUGAAAUGCUUAGAUAUGACAUAGAACACCUAUUGCGAAGGCAGCUUACUACGCAUAUAUUGACGCUGAGGCACGAAAGCGUGGGGAUCAAACAGGAUUAGAUACCCUGGUAGUCCACGCCCUAAACGAUGAUUACUCGACAUUUGUGAUACACUAUAAGUGUCUGAGCGAAAGCAUUAAGUAAUCCACCUGGGAAGUACGACCGCAAGGUUGAAACUCAAAGGAAUUGACGGGGA
Molecule: ribosomal RNA, 579 nt
Filed under: uncultured Sediminibacterium sp.
Lineage: Bacteria; Pseudomonadati; Bacteroidota; Chitinophagia; Chitinophagales; Chitinophagaceae
Description: bacterial SSU rRNA
Rfam family: Bacterial small subunit ribosomal RNA
Source: RNAcentral